RNAcentral lists this ribosomal RNA (1875 nucleotides) under Clostridioides difficile. Its description in RNAcentral is "partial 23S ribosomal RNA". It matches the Rfam family "Bacterial large subunit ribosomal RNA", at positions 366 to 2261 of the family's 2925-position model. Lineage: Bacteria; Bacillati; Bacillota; Clostridia; Peptostreptococcales; Peptostreptococcaceae. The record is from RNAcentral.
AAUAGUCCUGUAUGUUAAACGAGAAGACUUCAGAUAUGAUCCAGAGUACCACGGGACACGUGAAACCCUGUGGGAAGCAGGAGGGACCACCCUCCAAGGCUAAAUACUACCUAGUGACCGAUAGCGUAUAGUACCGUGAGGGAAAGGUGAAAAGAACCCCGGGAGGGGAGUGAAAUAGAACCUGAAACCCUGCACUUACAAGCUGUGGAAGCACAUUUCUUGUGUGACCGCGUACUUUUUGUAGAACGGGCCAACGAGUUACGUUAAGUAGCAAGGUUAAGCACUUAAGGUGCGGAGCCGUAGCGAAAGCGAGUUUUAACUGAGCGUUCAGUUACUUGACGUAGACCCGAAACCGGGCGACCUACCCAUGAGCAGGAUGAAGCGAAAGUAAAAUUUCGUGGAGGUCCGAACCCACGAGCGUUGAAAAGCUCGGGGAUGACUUGUGGGUAGCGGUGAAAUUCCAAUCGAGCCCGGAGAUAGCUGGUUCUCCCCGAAAUAGCUUUAGGGCUAGCCUCAAGGUGAGAGAUACGGAGGUAGAGCACUGAAUGUCCUAGGGGGUAUUGCACCUACCGAAGACUAUCAAACUCCGAAUGCCGUCAUCUUAUACUUGGGAGUCAGACUGUGGGUGAUAAGAUUCAUAGUCGAAAGGGCAACAGCCCAGAUCGUCAGCUAAGGUCCCUAAAUGUAAGUUAAGUGGUAAAGGAUGUGGGAUUGCACAGACAACCAGGAUGUUGGCUUAGAAGCAGCCACUCAUUCAAAGAGUGCGUAAUAGCUCACUGGUCGAGUGAUCCUGCGCCGAAGAUUUCCGGGGCUAAAACUUACUACCGAAGCUACGGCAUCAGUAAUGAUGGGUAGGGGAGCUUCCCAUACGGGUUGAAGCAUGACCGUAAGGACAUGUGGACAGUAUGGGAGUGAGAAUGUUGGCAUGAGUAGCGAGAUGUGGGUGAGAAUCCCACAGGCCGUAAACCCAAGGUUUCCAGGGGAAGGUUCGUCCGCCCUGGGUUAGUCGGGACCUAAGCUGAGGCCGAAAGGCGUAGGUGAUGGACAACAGGUUGAUAUUCCUGUACUACCGAUAACCGUUUGAGAGAAGGGAUGACACAGUAGGAUAAGCUAAGCACACUGUUGGUUAUGUGUGCCCAAGCAUUGAGGCAGUCAAAGUAGGCAAAUCCGCUUUGAUAAUGCUGGGAUGUGAUGGGGAGCGAAAUUUAGUAGCGAAGUAGCUGAUUUCACACUGUCAAGAAAAGUCUCUAUCGAGGUUAAAGGUACCCGUACCGCAAACCGACACAGGUGGGUGAGGAGAGUAUCCUAAGGCCAGCGAGAGAACUGUUGUUAAGGAACUCGGCAAAAUGACCCCGUAACUUAGGGAUAAGGGGUGCCACCAUCAGGUGGCCGCAGAGAAUAGGCCCAAGCGACUGUUUACCAAAAACAUAGGUUUCUGCUAAGUCGCAAGACGAUGUAUAGGAGCUGACGCCUGCCCGGUGCUGGAAGGUUAAGGGGAUCUGUUAGAGCAAUCGAAGCAGUGAACUUAAGCCCCAGUAAACGGCGGCCGUAACUAUAACGGUCCUAAGGUAGCGAAAUUCCUUGUCGGGUAAGUUCCGACCCGCACGAAAGGCGUAACGAUUUGGGCACUGUCUCAACAACAGACUCGGUGAAAUUGUAAUUCCGGUGAAGAUGCCGGAUACCUGCGACAGGACGGAAAGACCCCAUGGAGCUUUACUGUAGCUUGACAUUGGGUCUUGGUACUACAUGUACAGGAUAGGUGGGAGGCUUUGAAACCAGGACGCCAGUUUUGGCGGAGCCAUCCUUGGGAUACCACCCUUGUAGUACUGGGACUCUAACCAUAGGCCAUGAAUCUGGUCUUGGGACACUGUCAGG